GGUCCGCCGCCCGCGAUACUGCGAGAAGUCCAUUGAACCUUAUCAUUUAGAGGAAGGAGAAGUCGUAACAAGGUUUCCGUAGGUGAACCUGCGGAAGGAUCAUUG
This 105-nucleotide ribosomal RNA is filed under the name Polystachya piersii. Its description in RNAcentral is "partial 18S ribosomal RNA". It matches the Rfam family "Eukaryotic small subunit ribosomal RNA", at positions 1727 to 1831 of the family's 1831-position model. Lineage: Eukaryota; Viridiplantae; Streptophyta; Magnoliopsida; Asparagales; Orchidaceae. The record is from RNAcentral.